Camelus dromedarius (Arabian camel) is the source of this 7302-nucleotide long non-coding RNA. RefSeq lists it as uncharacterized. The transcript is spliced from 2 exons. The record is from RefSeq and is a predicted model, not a curated record. Lineage: Eukaryota; Metazoa; Chordata; Mammalia; Artiodactyla; Camelidae.
CUGAAUUUGUUCCGGUGGUGGGCUUCAGUUAUGCUUGGUAAAUUAUACUCAGGUGGAAAGAUAAAUAUUCUUAGGUUAUUAGGAGAGGACGUGUAUUUGAUUACAUUAAAUACCUGACUGACUCAAUGCCUAUAAAACAAAUUUUACUACCUCGGAAAAGCUGGGCUAGGCAGCGCGACCUCAUCUCACCUGACUUCCAGGGCCCUGUGAAUCCCCCAGAACUUCAAACUAAAGAAGUCUAAGAAAAAAGACAAUGGAAGCUUCUUUUUAUAGUACCAGAAAUUUGAACUGAAUUUGCUAUAAUUUAGGAAGAACUUCCAAGUGGGUUUUCCUUAAAUUAGUAAUUUGAGAAUAUUCAAACACAAAGACAAUAUGAAAACUCAAUCCGGUAAAUCCCCAUUAACCUAGAUUUGCCAAUUAUGAAAAUUCUGCAACUUUUCUGUCUCUCUCCACAUACAGAGUUUUAUAUGCUGGAAUUAAGUUGCAGACAUUAGGACACUUUAUACCUAAAUCUUAAGAAUAAGUGCAUUGUCUUAUGAAACCGACAAUCCUUUAUCCCACCUAAAAAAUAAGUAUUGAUAGAAUUAUAUGAGUAGUCUGUAUUCAAGUCGAAUUUCUUCAGCUAUUCCAAAUAUAAUUCUUCCUAUUACAGUUCACAUGUUGCACUAGGUUAUUAGAUCCCUGUAGUCUUUCAAUAUGCCCACAUCUGCCCACAUCUCUUUUCAUACUGUUUUUUAUGAGACCCAGACCUUUGUCUUACAGAGAACACAAUUCUCUGGUAUUUCUUUUUCUUUUCUUUUUUUCCUUUUUCAGUUUUAUUAGGUAGAAAUUCUCUGGUAUUUCUGAUUCUGUUCUCAGUAUUGUUAAUGUCCCCCCACCCCCAACCUCCCCUUAAUUCCUGCAAACUAGAAAUUUAAUUAGAGGCUAGAUAGUAACUUACACAUUUUGUAGAUGAUGCUUUGUGUGCUUCCUGUUGCUUCUCAUCAGGAUGCAAGUAAAUGUCGAUUUUUCCACUACUUAAGCUAUACUACCUUUGAUCAUUCAGUUAACAUGGUGACCACCAGAACUUUUCAUUCCUAAAUUUUAUUUUUCCUUUGUAAUUAGUAUGCGGGAGUGAGUCUUGGCACUGCGAAUAUGCUGUCUCCUGAUACUUUUUCUUUUCCUGGAUGAUACAUUUUUGAGACUUACAAAAUAGGUGAUCUUCUGGUUCGUUUGUUUGCUGUUCAUUAGCUGGCAGUUUCUUCUCUUUUAUUUCAUUUUUUAACCUUUUGAUUAUCAUUGUUUACUCCUGGAUUCUCUCUCAACAUAUUGAAAUUAAUAUAUUAUUACUCUUUUUGAUGGUUCAAGUUUAUCUAGGGGCAGCUUUAAGUUCUCUCCAAUUGAUAUACCACUGAUGUUUGAACACUUUAUUGAUUGGAUCCAAUCAGCAAAAUAUUGUCCACAUAAUGGAUCAUAUGAUGUUUUGUGUAAUGUCAAGACCUUUGAGGACUGCUUUUUAGCAGAGAACGGGAAAAAUGACGUAACCAGGGGUCACUGCUGUGAAGAUACAAUGUUGGUCCUUCCGAGUAAAAGCAAAUACUCCCAGUUAUUUUUUUCAAAUUUGUAUGGAGCAAAGGGCAUUACUGACGUUAAUAUCUAUGUACCAAAUGCCAGAGAUUGUGCUGAUUUGUUCCAGUAACAAUACUGUAUUUGGAAUAAGAACUGCAACUUGAUUGAUAGCCUGAUUAAGUUUAUGAUGUCCACAGUCUUUCUUCAAAAUUCAUGUCAUCUCUGCACAGGCCACAGUGGUGAGUUAAAUGAGGAUGUGAUAAGUGUCAUGUCCCCUGGUUCUUUCACAUUUUUGAUGGUGGAAUUCAUCUUUAAAAUUCCUCUAGGCAUGUUGUAUUACUUCUAGUCUAUUAAUUUAAGGCAUGGAGAAUUCUAGGAUUCUCCAUCUAACUUUUACUAUUUUAAUAGUCUUCUCCCCAUGGGUCAGAAAAUCAAUUUAAGAAAUUCUACCAGUUGCAAAGAAUGUCUGUAUUCCAAUGAUAUGUUUAGGAAUGGGGGCUAACCACAUGGUUAGUACGCGGUUCAACUGGUCUCUCUUUACGUUCAUUGAGUGGACUCCAUUUGUCUCCUGACUACCUUAUGCUUUGACUUUGGUGGUGGGACACAGUGGGAUUUGGGGAUAUAAUUCCCCAGAAAUUAGUCAGGGUCAGUCUGGGUAUUUCCUUUUCUCCAACACACAACUGCAGCUCUAGGGGAAGGCUUGAAGGGACAUUUAUAGUGUGGAUUGUAGUGAAUGUGCAAGAUCCUUCCUUUGAUGGAGGCUCCACAGGUCAAUUUUGUGAGUUGACCUAUGUCUGGGUAAGAGGCCUUGAUUCUGGUGUUUGGCUGCUGGACUUAGGACUUCUUGUUACAUAGAUCAAGCCAUAUUUUGGUACACAGGUACUCCUCUCACUAGUCUUAUUUCUCAGUACCUUCAUGAGGAGAGUGGCUUCUAGGCCUUCAUCAUAGGUCGAUAAAAGGCAUCUGUGGAGACCACAUAAGGUAUAUCCAGUGCAACAUUCCUAUCUCUAGGAUUUCCUCCUUCACAUCAUGCAAGGAAAGCUUUGGCAUAGCAUCCUCAUUAACUAUAGCUCAACACUGAGUCCAAAUGUCAGUCAUCCAGCCAAAUAAUAUAGAGCCAUCCCCAAGCACAUGAGCUAAUAUGUUAAAUCCAAAAUACCUAAAAUGUGCAUCCAUGUCAUUGAAAUGGCUCAGUCUAAUCUGAUAUUCCACCCUCCUUGGUCUAAUACCCUAUAAUCCAUUUCCACAUAUGUUCCCUAGGUUUUCUCAGAUACGUAUUAGUGGAGGUGGAAUUAUUUUGUUUUGUCAGCUGUUCUCCCUUACCUCACAUCUUACAUCUUUCCCAUCGGAUUUUCACUAGUUCUGAGCGUAGAGGCAAGAGCAGGUGGUUGUGAUGGGUCUUCGUUUGUUUGUUUGGGGGGUUAGGUUUAUUUAUUUAUUUUUAGAGGAGGCACUGGGAAUUGAACCUAGGACCCUGUGCAUGCCAAGCAUGCACUCUACCACUUGAGCUAUACCCUCCCCACCUCUGGUAGGCCUUAAGGAGAGUCCCUUGCCAGGUAUCUGUACCAAGUGAGAUUAUCACAGGAUUGUAAGUUAGGAAGGCUAGUCUCCUCAGAAACCAAAGGUCUGCUUCCCUGCUAAAGGGGGUUCAGAGUGUCUUGUGGGUUCAAGAUUAUGAGUUUCACCUGCGUCCAGCUAGAGGUCUUCAUUCCCAGGUUCCUCUCUUCCCUGAUCACUUCUCUCAUUUUCACAUCAGAAACCAGACAAGACCACCUUAGCUGCUGUUGUACGAAUACAACUGACAAAUACUAGGAAAAGGUGGUUCUCUGAAGACUCAUAAAAUAGAAAAUGUGUGCAGCGUCUGACUUGGCCCUGCUUCCCUGCCAAGGCAAGAGGGGGAGAGAAGACCUCCCAAACUUGAGUGUUUCCACCAUGACACUGUGGAGACUGCAUGGUACUUGAAAUGUAAUCUGAGUUUUUUGUAAAAACUUAGACUUUUUUCCUUAAUUUUUGGACCAAAAAUAGACUAACCAAUGGUUAUUUCCAUUUUCUCUCAUUAUCUUACCCAAGAACCAACAGCAUAUAUGUUCUUUCAGUGCGUGUGUAUGUAUAUAUGUAUUGUACACCCUUUACAUCCUUACAGGCUCAACUGUUUUCCCACAGAACUUGAUGAGCUGAUGUAUCAGUGAUGAGCAUUCUCCCAUAGGAAUGUUGUAUCUUUAAGGCUUAGUACAUUUCCUCUCUGUGGUACUGCUCUAUGCCUAGCACAGGGACAAAACUUUUUAAUUAUUCACUGAAAGAAUAAAGGGGAAAAAACAGAGAUAAGAACUUAAAAGGAGGCCAAGCUUCUGCAACAUCCAUCAAGAAGUUCAAUGUUUUUCAAGAUUCAUCUGUGUUGUACCACACAGGGCUCAUGUCAUCUUGGCUUCUGGAGAAUUUCCACACGAAUGUGCCACUUUUGUCACUCACUAAGAAAAGCUGGGACCAAAUCUGCAUCGUUUAUCUUGUUCACCACUUACUGAUGACACUGCCAUUAGGAGGCUGGGCAGCGGAAUGAGGUCGGUCCGCAGUAGUGAUCUCAAACGUGGCCCACAAGGUUCUCAGACUCGGGCAACUGUAACAGGUUCUGGCAGGAGCCAUCGGUCUUAUUUCAGACGAUCAGAAUCCAUCUGAGGCCAAUCUGUGACCCUUACUCAUUGCCAGUAAUUAAAGGGGGCAGCAGGUGGGCUGAGUAACAAGGUGCACACCUCAAAUUAAACUACAGCACGGCACACUCCUCCACACGUGCAAACAUUUAAUACAAAGGUGUACAUGGAAUUCCUGCUCCGGAUUUACUGUGAAGGUUGAUUUGAAGUAUCACUACAGUGGUUUCACUCAACCUCAGUAAAGUGUCAUCAGCAACUGCAGGCACGCACGACGGCCAUACCCGACCACCCAAGGUUAAGGUUGCUCAAGCAUCAGAACUCUGAAGGCUAAAGUGGGGUCAUGCACAUCUGUCUGACCCCAAGGCCCACACUCAGGAGCUGCUGGGGACGGAGUCCAGCACAGCACAUUGUCAGGACUGGCUACGGUCACAGGUGUUCCUGUACAUUCACAGCACAUGGAUGGAAUAACAAACACAGAAGCAAGUCUUAUCAGUGACAGCUGGUGUGUGACUCGGAUAAGUGACACGGUUGUUUUGCCAGCCUGUGGUGCCAGGUUUAGGGGUGAAAGAGAACAUUCUUUAUUCUCACUUGAGCUUCCUGCACAGCUCGAGGUGACAGACUCUCCCCCAGGUGCUACGGUUGCUGCUCACCCACAAAAGUUGUGAAAUUGGGGUGUCCCACGUUAGUAGACGUAAUCUCGCUUUUUCUCCACUCAUCCCCUGCUUGACCCUGACCUUUAUCUGAAAGGAUCAGGGCUGAGAGGCACAUGGUAACUUUACAAAAUUGACAAGAGAUAGACAACAUCCCUCCCCCAGCCUGGAUGCCUCACUGUAAGUGAGGGUGGUGAACACUGUACACAGUCAAGCAGUCGUGUUCUCCACGAUGUAAGACAGUGUCAGUCCAACAAGGGAAUCCAGGGGCUUAGAAGAAGAUUAAGUGUGACUCCUGCAGGCCCACUUUUCACCACGGUGUAACCUGGGAGGUGUAGCCACGAGACGGUCCAGGUCUGGCUAUGAGGGGAAUGGAAGUCCCAUUGUGUGCAAGAAUGGUCAGGGCCAAGUCACAAAUGCUUCAGCUAGAUCUGCAGAACCACCCAGAACGCUGUGCCCUGAGGAAACCCUAAGAUUUCAUGUCAGGGCAGUGCUGCCCAAAUACUCCACAUUCAGUUUCUCUUGACUGUGAGCCACCCCAUGCUCAUUAAGAAUAAAUAAGAAUCUUGUGGAAAUGACUCUACAACAUUCUUACAUUCAUAAAGUUCUCCACAGUGAGAUUACAAGCGAACAUUACUGUAUUAGCAGAACUAAAAUUAACCCACAUCUCAUGUCAGCAGCGUUUCUCUCCACUGUAAGGUCUCCCAUGUGUAUGUAACGUGUAUUUCACUGAGGAAGUAGUGACGGUCUUUCCAUGUUUCUUGACAGUAUGGCUUCACGGUGAGUCCUCACAUGCCGGCUGUGAGGAGACUGAUGGCUUUGCCACAUUCCUAACAUUUGUAGAGCACCUCCCUGGCGUUUUUCUCUCAUGAUGUUGAAGUGAAUCACAUAGAAAAAAUUUUUCCUACAUUCCUUCCAUUGACCAGGUUUCUCACCAGUGUGCGCACGCUGAUCCCUGAUAACGGAAGAACUGGCAGAUGUUUCCCACAUGUAUUUCUUCUUCCGAGUGUGAGAUCUACAACGUCUAGGAAGACUUGAAGAAGCAAAGACUUUCCCACAUUUAUCACAUUCAAAAGACUUCUCUCCAGUGAGAUUUAAAAUAUCUAGAAAGAGUUAAGGAAGAAGCAAAGGCAUCUCCACAUUUCUCACAUUGAAAUGGCUUCUCUUCAGGGUGAGUUUUUAAAUGUCGAGUAAGGCCUGAGAAAUGAGUAUAGGUCGUCCCACAUUUAUUACACACAAAAGGCUUCACUCUAGUGUGAGUUUUCAAAUGAUUAAUGAGGUUUGAAGACUGAACGAAGGUUCUCCCACACUCCUUACAUUCAUAGGGUUUUACUCCAGUAUGAAUUCAAAUGUGAACACGAAGGUGUGAGGAUCUUCUAAAGGCCCUACCACACUCCUGACACUCGUAGGGUUUUAGCCCAGUAUGAAUUCGACUGUGAACAUUAAGGUAUGAAGACCACUUAAAGGCUUUCCCACAUGUGUCACAUGCACAAGGCUUCCCGGCACUGUGUGUUUCUAAUUGUCUCCUAAGGCUUAAGGACACAGCGGAGACCUUUCCACUCCCCUUACAUCUGGCACGUGUGUUAGCAGUGUGAGUUGGUACAUGAGCACCAAGGCUUGCUGAGUGAACAGCUCUCCCAUGUUUCUUCCAUCCAUAGGGCUCUUCUUUACCGCGAGUGCCGUCCUGUGCCUGAAGGUGAGGUUCAUUAACAAAGGCUCCCCCACCAUCACUGCACUCUAAGGCUUUCCCCUGUUUGCUCGAUGUCCUGUGCACGUGUGGGGCCAGCCUGACAGCUUUUCCACACUGAGUAAACAGGGAACGUUUUUCUCCAGCACAAGAUGUAUUGUGUAGAGUAAGGAAGUUUAUUCCAUCCUGAUUAUCUCUGCAAAUGUUCUUUCCACUUUUGAGUUCUCCUGUGUGUCUUAAGGCACAAGUGUUCCCUGAAGUCUCUCCCACGUUGCUUAUAGUCAUAGAGUUCCAGGCCACUGAGGCUUCUUUCCUGUGGAUAAAUGGAUGGAUGAUGAUUCAGGGAUUUCUCAGACUCAUUAACUGAUCCAAGUCAUCUCAACACAGAACCAUCACUACAGUAGCGAUGAUGACUUUUCCCAUCUCCUUGACAUUCAUACACGUCCUGCCCAGUUGAUUUCUUCCAAGUUAAAACAAUGAAAUCCUCCUGCCAGAAUGAUGUACCGUAUACUCGAAUCUCAAAAGAUUUCUACAUAGUUUCAUGGGACUGUUUUUAAAUAAGUGGGAAUGAGUCCUUGUGGAAAUUCUGAAGCAAGUUUCAAUCUAGGCCUGGAUAUCCCCAUAAUUAGCAUCACCAGAAUUCUCAGAGAGACAUGGCUCUCCCCAGGUGAAUGCCACUCAUCUCAAACAUCUGUCACUGGUGCUCCCGUUCUAGCUAAGGAAGUCCCAAGCUGAUCUGAAUGUGGAAAAUAAAUACCUGGUUUGAAACUUA